Molecule: ribosomal RNA, 700 nt
Filed under: Streptomyces sp. YIM 75775 Cn
Lineage: Bacteria; Bacillati; Actinomycetota; Actinomycetes; Kitasatosporales; Streptomycetaceae
Description: bacterial SSU rRNA
Rfam family: Bacterial small subunit ribosomal RNA
Source: RNAcentral
ACAAGCCCUGGAAACGGGGUCUAAUACCGGAUAACACUCUGUCCUGCAUGGGACGGGGUUGAAAGCUCCGGCGGUGAAGGAUGAGCCCGCGGCCUAUCAGCUUGUUGGUGGGGUAAUGGCCUACCAAGGCGACGACGGGUAGCCGGCCUGAGAGGGCGACCGGCCACACUGGGACUGAGACACGGCCCAGACUCCUACGGGAGGCAGCAGUGGGGAAUAUUGCACAAUGGGCGAAAGCCUGAUGCAGCGACGCCGCGUGAGGGAUGACGGCCUUCGGGUUGUAAACCUCUUUCAGCAGGGAAGAAGCGCAAGUGACGGUACCUGCAGAAGAAGCGCCGGCUAACUACGUGCCAGCAGCCGCGGUAAUACGUAGGGCGCAAGCGUUGUCCGGAAUUAUUGGGCGUAAAGAGCUCGUAGGCGGCUUGUCACGUCGGAUGUGAAAGCCCGGGGCUUAACCCCGGGUCUGCAUUCGAUACGGGCUAGCUAGAGUGUGGUAGGGGAGAUCGGAAUUCCUGGUGUAGCGGUGAAAUGCGCAGAUAUCAUGAGGAACACCGGUGGCGAAGGCGGAUCUCUGGGCCAUUACUGACGCUGAGGAGCGAAAGCGUGGGGAGCGAACAGGAUUAGAUACCCUGGUAGUCCACGCCGUAAACGUUGGGAACUACGUGUUGGCGACAUUCCACGUCGUCGUGCCGCAGCUAAC